UUUAAUUUAGUACAAAUUAUUAGUACAAUUCAUUUACAUUGAAAAGAUCUUAUAUGAGAAUUAAAU
Molecule: transfer RNA, 66 nt
Filed under: Omalonyx unguis
Lineage: Eukaryota; Metazoa; Mollusca; Gastropoda; Stylommatophora; Succineidae
Description: tRNA-Val
Source: RNAcentral